Molecule: long non-coding RNA, 146 nt
Organism: Telopea speciosissima
Lineage: Eukaryota; Viridiplantae; Streptophyta; Magnoliopsida; Proteales; Proteaceae
Exons: 3
Source: RefSeq, a predicted model, not a curated record
CGUAUGACAUACUAACUUUAAAACAUGAAGGUACAUCUGCAAUUUACAGGGCACAUAUAAUUAACUCUUACCCUCUCCCCGUCUUCUCGGUUUCCUUAUGCUUCAUCUUUCUCGGCUUUUCCUUGUGUAAGUACUCUCUCUCUCUC